UGGGUAACCUGCCUCAAAGAGGGGAAUAGCCUCCCGAAAGGGAGAUUAAUACCGCAUAAUAUGUUUAGGUCGCAUGACUUUAACAUCAAAGGAUUUCUUUUAGAAAUUCCACUUUGAGAUGGACCCCGCGGCGCAUUAGCUAAUUGGUGAGGUAACGGCUCACCAAGGCAG
Molecule: ribosomal RNA, 171 nt
Filed under: uncultured bacterium
Lineage: Bacteria
Description: partial 16S ribosomal RNA
Rfam family: Bacterial small subunit ribosomal RNA
Source: RNAcentral